Molecule: ribosomal RNA, 492 nt
Filed under: uncultured bacterium
Lineage: Bacteria
Description: partial 16S ribosomal RNA
Rfam family: Bacterial small subunit ribosomal RNA
Source: RNAcentral
AGUGAACGCUGGCGGUAGGCCUAACACAUGCAAGUCGAACGGCAGCACAGUAAGAGCUUGCUCUUACGGGUGGCGAGUGGCGGACGGGUGAGGAAUACAUCGGAAUCUACUUUUUCGUGGGGGAUAACGUAGGGAAACUUACGCUAAUACCGCAUACGACCUACGGGUGAAAGCAGGGGAUCUUCGGACCUUGCGCGAUUGAAUGAGCCGAUGUCGGAUUAGCUAGUUGGCGGGGUAAAGGCCCACCAAGGCGACGAUCCGUAGCUGGUCUGCGAGGAUGACCAGCCACACUGGAACUGAGACACGGUCCAGACUCCUACGGGAGGCAGCAGUGGGGAAUAUUGGACAAUGGGCGCAAGCCUGAUCCAGCCAUACCGCGUGGGUGAAGAAGGCCUUCGGGUUGUAAAGCCCUUUUGUUGGGAAAGAAAAGCAGCAGGUUAAUACCCCGCUGUUCUGACGGUACCCAAAGAAUAAGCACCGGCUAACUUCGUG